Molecule: non-coding RNA, 781 nt
Filed under: Aleochara sp. 2 EF-2015
Lineage: Eukaryota; Metazoa; Arthropoda; Insecta; Coleoptera; Staphylinidae
Source: RNAcentral
AAAAAGUUUUAUUUUAGCUUAAAUAAUUAAUAAAUAAAUUACUUUAUAUGUAAAUUUUAGUAAGAAUAUAUUUAAUUUUAAAAAAAUUAAAUAUACAAUUUAUUUGCAGUAUUUAAUAUUAAAAUUUUAAGAAAUUAUGAUUUAGAAAUUUAUAAUAAUAUUAACAAAAUUUGUGCCAGCAGUUGCGGUUAUACAAAUAAUUAAUUUAAUUAUUUUUAAUUUAUAAUUAUAUGAAAAAAUAAUUUUACAUAUAAAGUAAUUUAUUAGGUGAAAUUUUAAAUUACUAAUAAGUUUAAUUUUGGAUUUAGAGGUUAUUAAAUUUUAUUAAAAACUAGGAUUAGAUACCCUAUUAUUAAAAUGUAAAUUUAAAAUAUUAAAUUAUUAAUAGUUAUUUUCUAGAAAGUUAAAAAUUUUGGCGGUAUUUUAGUCUUUUCAGAGGAACCUGUUCUAUAAUUGAUAGUCCACGAUUAGAAUUACUUAUUUUAAAAAUUUAUAUAUCAUCGUAGUUGAAUAUUUUAUUAGAAUUUUAAUAUUCAUAAUUUUUUAUUUUAAAAAUAAAUCAGAUCAAGGUGUAGUUUAUAUUUAAGAAGAAAUGGGUUACAAUAAAUUUAUUUAUGGAUAAUAAAUUUAAAAUUUAUUUAAAAUUGGAUUUGAAUGUAAUUUAAUUAAUUUAAAUUAAAUGAUUUUAGCUCUAAAAUAUGCACAUAUCGCCCGUCGCUCUCAUUUAAGUUGAGAUAAGUCGUAACAAAGUAAAUGUACUGGAAAGUGUAUUUAGGUAGCA